GUGAACGCUGGCGGUAGGCCUAACACAUGCAAGUCGAACGGCAGCACAGUAAGAGCUUGCUCUUACGGGUGGCGAGUGGCGGACGGGUGAGGAAUACAUCGGAAUCUACUUUUUCGUGGGGGAUAACGUAGGGAAACUUACUCUAAUACCGCAUACGACCUACGGGUGAAAGCAGGGGAUCUUCGGACCUUGCGCGAUUGAAUGAGCCGAUGUCGGAUUAGCUAGUUGGCGGGGUAAAGGCCCACCAAGGCGACGAUCCGUAGCUGGUCUGAGAGGAUGAUCAGCCACACUGGAACUGAGACACGGUCCAGACUCCUACGGGAGGCAGCAGUGGGGAAUAUUGGACAAUGGGCGCAAGCCUGACCCAGCCAUACCGCGUGGGUGAAGAAGGCCUUCGGGUUGUAAAGCCCUUUUGUUGGGAAAGAAAAGCAGCAGGUUAAUACCCCGCUGUUCUGACGGUACCCAAAGAAUAAGCACCGGCUAACUUCGUG
RNAcentral lists this ribosomal RNA (491 nucleotides) under uncultured bacterium. Its description in RNAcentral is "partial 16S ribosomal RNA". It matches the Rfam family "Bacterial small subunit ribosomal RNA", at positions 29 to 507 of the family's 1533-position model. The record is from RNAcentral.